GCUAUAGCUCUGGUAACUACUGGGCUUUUCAAUUGUCACUGUUGACUUUCAGUUGGAUUUCGAUUAGUUUAAUG
Pangasianodon gigas (Mekong giant catfish) is the source of this 74-nucleotide non-coding RNA. NCBI's taxonomy places the organism in Eukaryota, Metazoa, Chordata, Actinopteri, Siluriformes, Pangasiidae. The record is from the annotation of a GenBank genome assembly.